UUCGCAGAGUGUUCAGAAUAAUACUUUGCAAGGGACAGCAGCGCGAUGUCAAGCAGCAGCAGCAGCAGGUUCUGCAGCUUCGACGACCCUGGUGAGUUCACGGUCGUGCUCAACUCCCGCCAGCAAGGCGCGAAGGAGUUUCCCCUUGAACCCCAUGACCUGAUUCUCAGUGAUGAUUUUUGCAGAACCACAUGCCGAUGGUGCACUUGCCUUUGGAAUUAAAGAUCAGCUUACUACACUAACCAGAUAUCAUAUAUAAAUACUCUACUCUACAGCAGUAUGAAGGGAUUUCAGGGCUAGCAAAUAUGUUAAAGAUAGAUACAGAGAAAGGAGAUUAGGGGAGUGGAUUCCGAUAAUGAUGCGAAAAAAAUGCCUUUGGGUCGAACACAUACUCUUGAAAGAAAGGAAGAAGCUUCUUGGUAAUGGAGAUGGUUCUCUUAUAUUUGGUAGGAGUCAGAAAAAAUCCAGCAUGGAAAAACACCACAUUCAACAUGGUGUAAUUAUGAUGAUCUAAACGAGUAUUCCUGGACUUCUGAUUGUUUCUCACUGCCACGACCAAUGCGGGAUGAUGGUGGCUUCUUCAAAUAUGUGCAAGAUAUGUCCUCUUUAGCAUCACUGGAUUUUUGAAAACGUUAUAUCUGAAUUUAGAGUGCACUUCUGCAAAAAAGAUUUUGUCCUGAUUACUAUUUCGAUUUUAUUUCUGCAGGCACUGUGAAAUGAUCGAAUGCCGCUAAUCAUUUUGGAGGUUUGUUGUAGGGUGCUCUACCAGGUAUUUUGUUCAGAUAUGCUCUUUCUCUGCCUGCCAUUUUAGCCAUCAGUUGAGAAUUAUAUUCAGAUUAGCAAACAAGUUUCUUGAUACUUAUAAGGCGAACAUACUUAUAAGGUGAACAUACAAACAAAUAAAAUCUUGAUGACUUGUGAGCUUUGCCUAUUAACUUAAAAUUAACGCUGACAAGUUUCUUGUUCUGUACCAUGGUAAGUCAUGAGUCUGCUGUCUUGAUACAAGGAAAUAAGGAAAUAUUAGUUUUCUGCUUAUUCGUUCAUAUCUUAUUACUGAAAGGAUUUCCAGUGUAUUAGUAAUUCAAGUUUCACCUGUCGCAGUGUAGUCUGCAAUAUUUGUAAUUAGCAAGAUGAACUCCUAUCAACUACUCCCAAGGUUUUCUGAAACUGUACGAACAUUUGCUAACAGAAACUUAAGUUAGCAAGUUAGCAUAGCUGCUUAGCUACCAAGUUGCUCUGCAGUUAAUAACUUAAUAUACACCUAUGUUAAAUACAUAUACUUGUUGAAAGGUUUUUGUGUACUGCUCCUUGUCCUUUAUGUGACAUUUACUUUCGUAGUCAGUCAUAAAUGGAUCCAGGUAGAUGUAUGGAUAUUUAUAUGGUGGAUGAUCCGUGUCAUUCUUUUACAGGUAAUAAUAUGCACCCACACAAUUCAAGUUCAUAUUCUGGAAGGACAUUGACCAACGAACCUUGUAGUAAUGUUACAGGUCAUAAAAUUGUGUAUUCCUACUAACCAUCAUUGCAUGUGUGCAGUGGUUAGAGAUUUUGUAGUGGAUAAUCAAUUAUCUUUAUCUGCUUCUAACUCAAGGAUUCAUACUGCAACAUUUCAUCCAGUGC
Triticum aestivum (bread wheat) is the source of this 1617-nucleotide long non-coding RNA. RefSeq lists it as uncharacterized. NCBI's taxonomy places the organism in Eukaryota, Viridiplantae, Streptophyta, Magnoliopsida, Poales, Poaceae. The record is from RefSeq and is a predicted model, not a curated record. The transcript is spliced from 4 exons.